This 254-nucleotide ribosomal RNA is filed under the name uncultured bacterium. Its description in RNAcentral is "partial 16S ribosomal RNA". It matches the Rfam family "Bacterial small subunit ribosomal RNA", at positions 524 to 776 of the family's 1533-position model. The record is from RNAcentral.
UACGUAGGGUGCGAGCGUUGUCCGGAAUUAUUGGGCGUAAAGAGCUCGUAGGCGGUGUGUCGCGUCGGUCGUGAAAACUUGGGGCUUAACCCUGAGCUUGCGGUCGAUACGGGCAUCACUGGAGUUCGGCAGGGGAGACUGGAAUUCCUGGUGUAGCGGUGAAAUGCGCAGAUAUCAGGAGGAACACCGAUGGCGAAGGCAGAUCUCUGGGCCGUAACUGACGCUGAGGAGCGAAAGCGUGGGGAGCGAACAGG